This 892-nucleotide non-coding RNA is filed under the name Bathophilus sp. CBM:ZF:14209. RNAcentral's name for it is "partial 12S ribosomal RNA". It matches the Rfam family "Bacterial small subunit ribosomal RNA", at positions 173 to 1527 of the family's 1533-position model. Lineage: Eukaryota; Metazoa; Chordata; Actinopteri; Stomiiformes; Stomiidae. RNAcentral also lists the same sequence under 1 other name. The record is from RNAcentral.
ACUCCUGUGAGGAUGCCCUCAAGUCCCUGCCCGGGAAUGAGGAGCUGGUAUCAGGCGCGCCACGCAGCCUACGACACCUUGCUAUGCCACACCCCCAAGGGAAUUCAGCAGUGAUAAACAUUAAGCCAUGAGCGCAAGCUCGACUUACUUAAGGUAGAGUACAGGGCUGGUAAAACUCGUGCCAGCCACCGCGGUUAGACGAGGAGGCCCAAGUUGACAGAGAGCGGCGUAAAGGGUGGCCAAGGGUAUAAACAGCUAGAGUCGAACUCUUCCCUGCACCGUCAUACGAAACCUGGAAGAAAGAAGCCCAAUCACGAAAGUGACUCUAUUCAACCUGCAACCACGACAACUAAGGAACAAACCGGGAUUAGAUACCCCGUUAUGCUUAGUCGUAAACUUUGAUGCUGAAGCACGACCAGCAUUCGCCCGGGAAUUACGAGCACUAGCUUAAAACUCAAAGGACUUGGCGGUGCCUUAGACCCCCUAGAGGAGCCUGUUCUAUAAUCGAUAACCCCCGUUUAACCUCACCACCUCUAGCCCGUGUCAGUCUAUAUACCGCCGUCGUCAGCUUGCCCUAUGAAGGAGCUAAUAGCAAGCGAUGUGGACAACUCUCCAAAACGUCAGGUCGAGGUGUAGCAUAUGAGGUGGGAAGAAAUGGGCUACAUUUCCUAGAGUAGGAAAUACCGAUUAUGCUGUGAAAUACGGCAUAUGAGGGUGGAUUUAGCAGUAAGAAGAAACUAGAGAGUUUUUCUGAAGUUGGCUCUGAGGUGCGUACACACCGCCCGUCACCCUCCCCGAACGUUCAUAAUUUCCGUUUCCUAAAACAUCAGAAGAACAAAGGGGAGGCAAGUCGUAACAAGGUAAGUGUACUGGAAAGUGCACUUGGACUAAC